This is a transfer RNA of Felis catus (domestic cat), 93 nucleotides long. It matches the Rfam family "tRNA". From Rfam's summary of the family: Transfer RNA (tRNA) molecules are approximately 80 nucleotides in length. NCBI's taxonomy places the organism in Eukaryota, Metazoa, Chordata, Mammalia, Carnivora, Felidae. The record is from Rfam.
GCCUGGGUGGCUCAGUCGGUUGAGCAUCUGACUUCGGCUCAGGUCAUGAUCUCACAGUUCGUGGGUUCGUGGGUUCGAACCCCACAUCAGGCU